GAUGAACGCUAGCUACAGGCUUAACACAUGCAAGUCGAGGGGAAACGACAUCGAAAGCUUGCUUUUGAUGGGCGUCGACCGGCGCACGGGUGAGUAACGCGUAUCCAACCUGCCCACCACUUGGGGAUAACCUUGCGAAAGUAAGACUAAUACCCGAUGAUAUCUCUAUAAGACAUCUGAAAGGGAUUAAAGAUUUAUCGGUGAUGGAUGGGGAUGCGUCUGAUUAGUUUGUUGGCGGGGGUAACGGCCCACCAAGGCAACGAUCAGUAGGGGUUCUGAGAGGAAGGUCCCCCACAUUGGAACUGAGACACGGUCCAAACUCCUACGGGAGGCAGCAGUGAGGAAUAUUGGUCAAUGGGCGAGAGCCUGAACCAGCCAAGUAGCGUGCAGGACGACGGCCCUAUGGGUUGUAAACUGCUUUUAUAAGGGAAUAAAGUGAGUCUCGUGAGACUUUUUGCAUGUACCUUAUGAAUAAGGACCGGCUAAUUCCGUG
This 493-nucleotide ribosomal RNA is filed under the name uncultured bacterium. RNAcentral's name for it is "bacterial SSU rRNA". It matches the Rfam family "Bacterial small subunit ribosomal RNA", at positions 28 to 507 of the family's 1533-position model. The record is from RNAcentral.